GCUCUCCUGCGGAGCUACAGAGCUGUCUGUAUGUCUGCUCACGAGUUUAUGGACUAAUAUCGGGAUAGUUUUACAUCUACACGUUAAAUAUGAGCAUCGGGACGUCCACAGAGAACAGAAGACUUGAGAUCUGAGCACCAGUGGACAGUGAAGACUAUGGAACAGAACAUGUGAUGGCUUUGUGUGGAAAGCUGCAGAAGCCAGCCGGUGACUCCUCAUCAGUCUCUCCAGGCAGCACCCAGCUAUUCGUCCAUCUUGCAGAUGAAAAGACUUUGAUAUCACCUGGACACAGCAGGAACCUACGCCAGGAUCUUGUUUGUGGUCUUCAGCUCCGCCUUCAACACCAUCAUCCCGGCUCUGCUGCAGGACGAGCUCUACCAGCUGCACGUGCCCGUCUCCACCUGCAGGUGGAUCACAGACUUCCUGUCUGACAGGAAGCAGCACGUGAGGCUGGGGAAACACCUCUCUGACUCCCGGACCAUCAGCACCGGUUCCCCUCAAGGCUGCGUUCUUUCCCCUCUGCUCUUCUCCCUGUACACCAACAGCUGCACCUCCAGUCACCAGUCUGUCAGGCUCCUGAAGAUCAGACGACACCACCCUCAUCGGACUCAUCUCUGGUGGGGACGAGUCUGCCUACAGAUGGGAGAUGGACCAUCUGGUGACCUGGUGUGGGGAAAACCACCUGGAGCUCAACGCUCUCAAGGCAGUGGAGAUGGUUGUGGACUUUAGGAAGAACGCAGCCCCACCCACCCCCCCCCAUCACUCUGUGUGACUCCCCAGUAACUGCUGUGGAAUCUUUCCGCUUCCUGGGCACCAUCAUCGCCCAGGACCUCAAACGGGAGCAGAACAUCUGCUCCCUCACCAAAAAAGCACAGCCGAGGAUACUCCAUCACCAUCUGGUACACUGCAGCCACAGCCAAGGAUAAGGGCAGGCUGCAGCGUGUCAUCCGCUCUGCAGAGAAGGUGAUCGGCUGUAAUCUGCCAUCCCUCCACGACCUGCAUGCCUCCAGAACCCUGAGGCGGGAAGAUAGUGGACGACCCCUCCCACCCUGGACACAAACUGUUCACUCCCCUCCCCUCCGCGCUCCAUCAGGACCAGAACCUCUCUCCAUCAGGACCAACACCUCUCUCCAUCAGGACCAGAACCU
Long non-coding RNA from Gymnodraco acuticeps, 1148 nucleotides. RefSeq lists it as uncharacterized. The record is from RefSeq and is a predicted model, not a curated record. Lineage: Eukaryota; Metazoa; Chordata; Actinopteri; Perciformes; Bathydraconidae. The transcript is spliced from 3 exons.